AUUGAACGCUGGCGGCAUGCCUUACACAUGCAAGUCGGACGGCAGCACGGGUGCUUGCCCCUGGUGGCGAGUGGCGAACGGGUGAGUAAUACAUCGGAACAUGUCCUGUAGUGGGGGAUAGCCCGGCGAAAGCCGGAUUAAUACCGCAUACGAUCUACGGAUGAAAGCGGGGGACCUUCGGGCCUCGCGCUAUAGGGUUGGCCGAUGGCUGAUUAGCUAGUUGGUGGGGUAAAGGCCUACCAAGGCGACGAUCAGUAGCUGGUCUGAGAGGACGACCAGCCACACUGGGACUGAGACACGGCCCAGACUCCUACGGGAGGCAGCAGUGGGGAAUUUUGGACAAUGGGCGAAAGCCUGAUCCAGCAAUGCCGCGUGUGUGAAGAAGGCCUUCGGGUUGUAAAGCACUUUUGUCCGGAAAGAAAUCCUUGGCCCUAAUACGGUCGGGGGAUGACGGUACCGGAAGAAUAAGCACCGGCUAACUACGUG
This 486-nucleotide ribosomal RNA is filed under the name uncultured bacterium. RNAcentral describes it as "partial 16S ribosomal RNA". It matches the Rfam family "Bacterial small subunit ribosomal RNA", at positions 30 to 507 of the family's 1533-position model. The record is from RNAcentral.